Penaeus monodon (black tiger shrimp) is the source of this 1917-nucleotide RNA transcript. It is a transcript of the gene named ATPase family AAA domain-containing protein 1-A-like, with no coding region annotated. NCBI's taxonomy places the organism in Eukaryota, Metazoa, Arthropoda, Malacostraca, Decapoda, Penaeidae. The record is from RefSeq and is a predicted model, not a curated record. The transcript is spliced from 9 exons.
AGUCCCCCAAACAGGACCCUCAUGAGGUCUGACGUUCCCGUCGGCGUUAUAUUGCACUUGAUAGGACUGUUCUUGGGCAGCACCCGCGGGUCACCCCUCGAUCCGUGGCAGUUCGUGACUUACAGAAGUCAUUAACAGCCAUUAGAAUCGGAAAUAAGUAAUAGGAAGAGUGCCCCAUCCUGAUAUCCGGGAAGGCCUCUGAUGUAAUGAGUGAGCAGACGACCGACCAAGCGAAUUUUUGACUUCUUGAAAUACUUUCUGGCCGAGGGCGCAGCGAAGCGUGCUUGCUUUAGGGCCAGGCACAUCGCAGAACAUACUUUGGGUGUGGAUACUGCUCUUCAGGUUUUGAUGCCUACAUUACCCCUAAGACUAGAAGAGGCCCCAUAACUAGUCUUUGUUGAGGCAGGGCUUGCGUGGCAGCUGUUGUGGAGUUCAUGGUGUUGAAGCUGCUCAAGCGUGGCAGCAUGGAGGGGGGGGAGCUCACACGCGGGGAGGUACUCUCCCUGCUGGCAAGACUGGCCUUUGCAACUGCUGCUUCCUAUUUUACUGUGAAGCUUCUGGUGUCAGCUAUGGACCCAACCUCCAAACAGAAGAAGGAUGCCAAGAGGAAGGCCCAAGAAGUUAUGCAGAGGCUGGGCAUCAAGGAGAAGGUUUCAUUGAGUGAGUAUGAAAUGAUGAUUGCCAGCCAGCUGGUAGAGCCUUCACAGUUGAGCACAUCCUGGAAGGAUGUGGCAGGACUCUCAACUGUCAUCCGGGAGCUCAGGGAGACUCUCAUCCUGCCUAUCCAGCAGCGCACUCGCCUCCAGGGAUCCCGCCUCAUCCAGCCUCCCAAAGGUGUACUACUGCACGGCCCUCCUGGCUGUGGCAAAACAUUGCUGGCCCGAGCAGUGGCCAGGGAAGCUGGAGCACGCUUCAUCAACUUGGAUGUGGCUGCACUCACAGACAAAUGGUAUGGUGAAUCACAGAAGCUCUCAGCUGCAGUAUUCUCUCUAGCCUCCAAGAUCCAGCCAUGCAUUAUCUUCAUUGAUGAAAUUGAUUCAUUCCUGCGAGUUCGAGCCACAGGUGAUCACGAAGCUACUGCUAUGAUGAAAGCUCAGUUCCUGCAGCAGUGGGACGGCCUUGCUACAGAUAACAGCCGCUUUGUAGUGGUGAUGGGGGCAACCAAUAGACCUCAGGACGUGGACAGAGCCAUCCUUCGCCGCAUGCCCGCAGCCUUCCACAUUCCUUUGCCAGGUUUAGAACAGCGUAAGGAAAUACUGCAGCUUGUGUUACGUGAUGAACAACUGUCAGGUGAUGCAAAUAUUGCAGUCCUUGCCAGGGAAACAGAGACUUUUUCUGGAUCAGAUCUCAUGGAGUUGUGUCGUACUGCAGCUGUCUACAGGUUACGACAUCUACUGGAUGACCCAAGCACUGAGAGCUCACAAGCAUGCAGUACAGAGUCAGAGCAGGCAGAGCCCUUGCGACCAAUUACAAUGGCCGACUUUAAACAGGCACUGGGGAAGAUGCAAGGCUCAAGUGUAUACAAUAGACAGGCUGAAACUCUACUUAAGAUGGACUUGGACUGAGUGAGGUUAUGUAGAAACAUGAGUUAGAUGAAAAGCAAAAUGAGAGCAUGGUAGAGUGACCAAGUGGUCCUCCAUCAGUCAAAGACCUCAGAGUGGUUUAGUCUUAUCAGUGUCAGCUGGGAUACAAAAUAGAGCAUUAGUGGUACCUCUAGAUUGCAUGCAAUUGCUUGUACUCUGGUGCAGUGUGUGGUUAUAUUCAGGUUUUAUGAGAAGCUAAUACAGAAGUAAGAUAAAUUCAUUGUCAAGAAUAAUUCUGAAGAUACAGUUUUAUGUUUCUGGAAUAAGUGCACCAACAGUUUUGUUAACCAGUAUAAUAUAUUUUAUAUAACCUUGGUUUAUAUAUAUAUAUAUA